Molecule: ribosomal RNA, 137 nt
Filed under: uncultured eukaryote
Lineage: Eukaryota
Description: partial 18S ribosomal RNA
Rfam family: Eukaryotic small subunit ribosomal RNA
Source: RNAcentral
UGGUGGGGUGACUUGUCUGCUUAAUUGCGAUAACGAACGAGACCUUAACCUGCUAAAUAGCCCGCAUUGUUCCGGCAGUGCGCUGGCUUCUUAGAGGGACUUUCGGCUCAAGCCGAAGGAAGUUUGAGGCAAUAACA